RNAcentral lists this transfer RNA (73 nucleotides) under Flavobacteriales bacterium. RNAcentral describes it as "tRNA-Lys". It matches the Rfam family "tRNA". From Rfam's summary of the family: Transfer RNA (tRNA) molecules are approximately 80 nucleotides in length. Lineage: Bacteria; Pseudomonadati; Bacteroidota; Flavobacteriia; Flavobacteriales. The record is from RNAcentral.
GGGAACGUAGCUCAGUUGGUAGAGCAUCCGCCUUUUAAGCGGAUGGUCGUGGGUUCGAGUCCCACCGUUCCCA